GAUGAACGCUGGCGGCGUGCCUAAUACAUGCAAGUCGAGCGAACAGGCGAGGAGCUUGCUCCUCUGACGUUAGCGGCGGACGGGUGAGUAACACGUGGAUAACCUACCUAUAAGACUGGGAUAACUUCGGGAAACCGGAGCUAAUACCGGAUAAUAUAUUGAACCGCAUGGUUCAAUAGUGAAAGACGGUUUUGCUGUCACUUAUAGAUGGAUCCGCGCCGCAUUAGCUAGUUGGUAAGGUAACGGCUUACCAAGGCAACGAUGCGUAGCCGACCUGAGAGGGGGAUGGCCACCACUGAAAGUGAGCCACGGCCCAGACUCCUAGGGAAGGCAGAGGUAGGAAAUCUUCGGAAAUGGGCGAAAGCUUGACGAAGCAACGCGGCGUGGGUGAUGAAGGGCUUCGGUUGGUAAAACGCUGUUAUAGGGGAAGAACAAAUGUGUAAGUAACUAUGCACGUCUUACGGGAACCUAUCAGAAAGCCACGGCUAACUACGUG
Molecule: ribosomal RNA, 496 nt
Filed under: uncultured bacterium
Lineage: Bacteria
Description: partial 16S ribosomal RNA
Rfam family: Bacterial small subunit ribosomal RNA
Source: RNAcentral